GAUGCUACUUGGUUGAUCCUGCCGACACUCUUAUGUU
Molecule: ribosomal RNA, 37 nt
Filed under: Lupinus magnistipulatus
Lineage: Eukaryota; Viridiplantae; Streptophyta; Magnoliopsida; Fabales; Fabaceae
Description: partial 18S ribosomal RNA
Source: RNAcentral